RNAcentral lists this ribosomal RNA (492 nucleotides) under uncultured bacterium. RNAcentral describes it as "partial 16S ribosomal RNA". It matches the Rfam family "Bacterial small subunit ribosomal RNA", at positions 29 to 507 of the family's 1533-position model. The record is from RNAcentral.
AGUGAACGCUGGCGGUAGGCCUAACACAUGCAAGUCGAACGGCAGCACAGUAAGAUCUUGCUCUUACGGGUGGCGAGUGGCGGACGUGUGAGGAAUACAUCGGAAUCUACUUUUUCGUGGGGGAUAACGUAGGUAAACUUACGCUAAUACCGCAUACGACCUACGGGUGAAAGCAGGGGAUCUUCGGACCUUGCGCGAUUGAAUGAGCCGAUGUCGGAUUAGCUAGUUGGCGGGGUAAAGGCCCACCAAGGCGACGAUCCGUAGCUGGUCUGAGAGGAUGAUCAGCCACACUGGAACUGAGACACGGUCCAGACUCCUACGGGAGGCAGCAGUGGGGAAUAUUGGACAAUGGGCGCAAGCCUGAUCCAGCCAUACCGAGUGGGUGAAGAAGGCCUUCGGGUUGUAAAGCCCUUUUGUUGGGAAAGAAAAGCAGCAGGUUAAUACCCAGCUGUUCUGACGGUACCCAAAGAAUAAGCACCGGCUAACUUCGUG